UGCAGAAUCCCGUGAACCAUCGAGUCUUUGAACGCAAGUUGCGCCCGAGGCCUUUCGGUCGAGGGCACGCCUGCCUGGGCGUCACGC
This 87-nucleotide ribosomal RNA is filed under the name Notholirion bulbuliferum. Its description in RNAcentral is "partial 5.8S ribosomal RNA". It matches the Rfam family "5.8S ribosomal RNA", at positions 73 to 154 of the family's 154-position model. From Rfam's summary of the family: 5.8S ribosomal RNA (5.8S rRNA) is a component of the large subunit of the eukaryotic ribosome. Lineage: Eukaryota; Viridiplantae; Streptophyta; Magnoliopsida; Liliales; Liliaceae. The record is from RNAcentral.